CAUUGUCAAUGAUGUCGUUUUUACCUACAUUGUUCGAUGCACCCUGAGAGAAACUGAAACACUGAGACUUUG
RNAcentral lists this small nucleolar RNA (72 nucleotides) under Acanthisitta chloris (rifleman). RNAcentral's name for it is "Small nucleolar RNA SNORD34". It matches the Rfam family "Small nucleolar RNA SNORD34". From Rfam's summary of the family: snoRNA U34 is found in intron 5 of the ribosomal protein L13a gene in humans. U34 is a member of the C/D class of snoRNA which contain C (UGAUGA) and D (CUGA) box motifs, and functions in directing site-specific 2'-O-methylation of 25S rRNAs. Lineage: Eukaryota; Metazoa; Chordata; Aves; Passeriformes; Acanthisittidae. The record is from Rfam by way of RNAcentral.